This 240-nucleotide ribosomal RNA is filed under the name uncultured bacterium. RNAcentral's name for it is "partial 16S ribosomal RNA". It matches the Rfam family "Bacterial small subunit ribosomal RNA", at positions 94 to 334 of the family's 1533-position model. The record is from RNAcentral.
AGCGGCGGACGGGUGAGUAACGCGUGGGUAACCUGCCUCAUACAGGGGGAUAACAGUUGGAAACGGCUGCCAAUACCGCAUAAGCGCACAGUACCGCGUGGUACCGUGUGAAAAACUCCGGUGGUAUGAGAUGGACCCGCGUCUGAUUAGCUAGUUGGUGGGGUAACGGCCUACCAAGGCGACGAUCAGUAGCCGACCUGAGAGGGUGACCGGCCACAUUGGGACUGAGACACGGCCCAA